CUCCUACGGGAGGCAGCAGUGGGGAAUAUUGCACAAUGGGGGAAACCCUGAUGCAGCGACGCCGCGUGGAGGAAGAAGGUCUUCGGAUUGUAAACUCCUGUUGUUGAGGAAGAUAAUGACGGUACUCAACAAGGAAGUGACGGCUAACUACGUGCCAGCAGCCGCGGUAAAACGUAGGUCACAAGCGUUGUCCGGAAUUACUGGGUGUAAAGGGAGCGCAGGCGGGAAGACAAGUUGGAAGUGAAAUCCAUGGGCUCAACCCAUGAACUGCUUUCAAAACUGUUUUUCUUGAGUAGUGCAGAGGUAGGCGGAAUUCCCGGUGUAGCGGUGGAAUGCGUAGAUAUCGGGAGGAACACCAGUGGCGAAGGCGGCCUACUGGGCACCAACUGACGCUGAGGCUCGAAAGUGUGGGUAGCAAACAGGAUUAGAUACCCUGGUAGUCCACACCGUAAACGAUGAUUACUAGGUGUUGGAGGAUUGACCCCUUCAGUGCCGCAGUUAACACAAUAAGUAAUCCACCUGGGGAGUACGACCGCAAGGUUGAAACUCAAAGGAAUUGACGGGGGCCCGCACAAGCAGUGGAGUAUGUGGUCUAAUUCGACGCAACGCGAAGAACCUUACCAAGUCUUGACAUCCUGCGACGGUUCUGGAAACAGAACUUUCCUUCGGGACGCAGAGACAGGUGGUGCAUGGUUGUCGUCAGCUCGUGUCGUGAGAUGUUGGGUUAAGUCCCGCAACGAGCGCAACCCUUAUGGUCAGUUACUACGCAAGAGGACUUUGGCCAGACUGCCGUUGACAAAACGGAGGAAGGUGGGGAUGACGUCAAAUCAUCAUGCCCUUUAUGACUUGGGCUACACACGUACUACAAUGGCGUUAAACAAAGAGAAGCAAGACCGCGAGGUGGAGCAAAACUCAGAAACAACGUCCCAGUUCGGACUGCAGGCUGCAACUCGCCUGCACGAAGUCGGAAUUGCUAGUAAUCGUGGAUCAGCAUGCCACGGUGAAUACGUUCCCGGGCCUUGUACACACCGC
This 1032-nucleotide ribosomal RNA is filed under the name uncultured bacterium. Its description in RNAcentral is "bacterial SSU rRNA". It matches the Rfam family "Bacterial small subunit ribosomal RNA", at positions 336 to 1393 of the family's 1533-position model. The record is from RNAcentral.